This 468-nucleotide ribosomal RNA is filed under the name uncultured bacterium. Its description in RNAcentral is "partial 16S ribosomal RNA". It matches the Rfam family "Bacterial small subunit ribosomal RNA", at positions 28 to 507 of the family's 1533-position model. The record is from RNAcentral.
GACGAACGCUGGCGGCGUGCUUAACACAUGCAGGUCGAACGGAAAGGCCCUGCUUUUGUGGGGUGCUCGAGUGGCGAACGGGUGAGUAACACGUGAGUAACCUGCCCUUGACUUUGGGAUAACUUCAGGAAACUGGGGCUAAUACCGGAUAGGAGCUCCUGCUGCAUGGUGGGGGUUGGAAAGUUUCGGCGGUUGGGGAUGGACUCGCGGCUUAUCAGCUUGUUGGUGGGGUAGUGGCUUACCAAGGCUUUGACGGGUAGCCGGCCUGAGAGGGUGACCGGCCACAUUGGGACUGAGAUACGGCCCAGACUCCUACGGGAGGCAGCAGUGGGGAAUAUUGCACAAUGGGCGGAAGCCUGAUGCAGCAACGCCGCGUGCGGGAUGACGGCCUUCGGGUUGUAAACCGCUUUCGCCUGUGACGAAGCGUGAGUGACGGUAAUGGGUAAAGAAGCACCGGCUAAGUACGUG